Oncorhynchus masou masou (cherry salmon) is the source of this 702-nucleotide long non-coding RNA. RefSeq lists it as uncharacterized. NCBI's taxonomy places the organism in Eukaryota, Metazoa, Chordata, Actinopteri, Salmoniformes, Salmonidae. The record is from RefSeq and is a predicted model, not a curated record. The transcript is spliced from 2 exons.
UGGACAACACAGAGCGGGCUGACAGGCUGUGUGAAUGCAAAGCUUCUGGAAGACUGGCUGGACUAGCAUGGGAGAAUUGAGCAUAGUUCAGUGUGUAUGUUUUGCGCUCUUUCACCGAGUUGUAAAAGCAAGCAGAGUAGAAACGGGCUACUCUUUAGUUGACUGAUGUAGCUGGCAAAACCUGAGCCCUAGGACCAUGCCUCAGGACUACCUGGCAUGAUGACUUCUUGCUGUCCCCAGUCCACCUGGCCGUGCUGCUGCUACAGUUUCAACUGUUCUGCCUGCGUCUAUGGAAUCCUGACCUGUUCACCGGACGCGCUACCUGUCCCAGACCUAUUAUUUGACCAUGCUGGUCAUUUAUGAACAUUUGUACAUCUUGGCCAUGUUCUGUUAUAAUCUCCACCCGGCACAGCCAGAAGAGGACUGGCCAUCCCUCAUAGCCUGCUUCCUCUCUAGGUUUCUUCCUAGGUUUUGGCCUAUCUAGGGAGUUUUUCCUAGCCAACAUGCUUCAACACCUGCAUUGCUUGCUGUUUGGGGUUUUAGGCUGGGUUUCUGUACAGCAAUUUGAGAUAUUAGCUGAUGUACGAAGGGCAAUAUAAAUACAUUUGAUUUGAUUUUGAUUUGAAAUCUGGAUUCCCAAUGAAAUCCCAUUGAAAAGAGAGUGACCUCAAAAAUAAAAAAUCGGAAUGGUUUUUCAUCGGG